RNAcentral lists this transfer RNA (73 nucleotides) under Anolis barkeri (Barker's anole). RNAcentral describes it as "tRNA-Ile". It matches the Rfam family "tRNA". Rfam says of the family: Transfer RNA (tRNA) molecules are approximately 80 nucleotides in length. Their secondary structure includes four short double-helical elements and three loops (D, anti-codon, and T loops). The record is from RNAcentral. Lineage: Eukaryota; Metazoa; Chordata; Lepidosauria; Squamata; Anolidae.
GGAAAUGUGCCUGAAAAUCAAGGACAACUUUGAUAGAGUUGAAAAUAGAGGUUAAAGCCCCCUCAUUUCCUAG